This 497-nucleotide ribosomal RNA is filed under the name uncultured bacterium. RNAcentral's name for it is "partial 16S ribosomal RNA". It matches the Rfam family "Bacterial small subunit ribosomal RNA", at positions 28 to 507 of the family's 1533-position model. The record is from RNAcentral.
GAUGAACGCUGGCGGCGUGCCUAAUACAUGCAAGUCGAGCGAACAGACGAGGAGCUUGCUCCUCUGACGUUAGCGGCGGACGGGUGAGUAACACGUGGAUAACCUACCUAUAAGACUGGGAUAACUUCGGGAAACCGGAGCUAAUACCGGAUAAUAUAUUGAACCGCAGGGUUCAAUAGUGAAAGACGGUUUUGCUGUCACUUAUAGAUGGAUCCGCGCCGCAUUAGCUAGUUGGUAAGGUAACGGCCUACCAAGGCAACGAUGCGUAGCCGACCUGAGAGGGUGAUCGGCCACACUGGAACUGAGACACGGUCCAGACUCCUACGGGAGGCAGCAGUAGGGAAUCUUCCGCAAUGGGCGAAAGCUUGACGGAGCCACGCCGCGUGAGUGAUGAAGGUCUUCGGAUCGUAAAACUCUGUUAUUAGGGAAGAACAACUGCGUAAGUAACUCUGCACGUCUUGACGGUACCUAAUCAGAAAGCCACGGCUAACUACGUG